UACGGAGGGUGCAAGCGUUAUCCGGAUUCACUGGGUUUAAAGGGUGCGUAGGUGGACAAGUAAGUCAGUGGUGAAAUCUCCGGGCUUAACUCGGAAACUGCCGUUGAUACUAUAAUUCUUGAAUAUUGUGGAGGUAAGCGGAAUAUGUCAUGUAGCGGUGAAAUGCUUAGAUAUGACAUAGAACACCAAUUGCGAAGGCAGCUGGCUACACGAAUAUUGACACUGAUGCACGAAAGCGUGGGGAUCAAACAGG
RNAcentral lists this ribosomal RNA (253 nucleotides) under uncultured bacterium. RNAcentral's name for it is "partial 16S ribosomal RNA". It matches the Rfam family "Bacterial small subunit ribosomal RNA", at positions 524 to 776 of the family's 1533-position model. The record is from RNAcentral.